GUGGCAUAGGAAUGGGCUGGCAGAGGUGCCCGGGAAGGUGUGGGGCCGCUGGGAAUGGGCUGGCAGAGGUGCCCGGGAAGGUGUGGGGCCGCUGGGACAGAGGGAAAGCAGCAGUGGAACAAAGGGAAAGUAAAGCCGCGCUCCCGCUGCACUUGUGGAACAAAGAAAGUUGCAGCACGAGGUGGCGGCACAUGUUCCCGGGCGGGGAGAGGCCCCUCUGUGGCACCCAGUGGGCGAUGUGGGCCCGGGUGUGUGCUGGGGGGCUGCUCAUCUCCCUCAUAACUAAAAUCAACUUUGAAGCCCGAAAAAGUGUUCGCAGAAGGCGAGCAGCCUGGCUGUGUGGGAAAGUCUUUGUUUGGGAGCAGCAGCCUCACAUUCCAGGGGAAGGGCUACAUAACUUUUAAGGACAGAUCCUUGUAAGCAGAUGUGUGCGUAGCAGUGCGAUCUGUCUGUGCUCCCAGCCGCACACACGCAACUCGGCAAAGUUUUGCGAGCGACUGCCUACAAGUUGCACUUCUUUUGUUCCUCGCCAUGCGCUCCAGCAGGAACGGCCGGUGACAGCACUUGGGGGCCAUUUCCCUACAGGGGAUUUAGGAGCCUGCCGUCUUCUCCUGCCUAAAUCCCCGCUUAUUCCCUGUACAUGAGCCGUUUGUACUUUGUUGGAGAGUUCAGUAUGUAACUGUGCUACUCCCUGCCGGGUCACUGCUUCAACUAUUAGCCAAACUCUCACAUUUUCCUGGCCAUAUUGUUUUAAUAUUGCCUUUCGAUAUCUUUGUGUGUUUGGCAGCCACUUUCUCAAUACUGAGAACUAAGUUGAGCUAUAAAACAAAAGUCUGCUGAGAUUUUUGUGUUGGUUCCCUUGUUGUGCGAGAGAGUGCCAUGUGAGUGGGACUGUGUGGGAGUGUGUGGCUCGGCAUUGUUCCGCACAAGACAGCGGGGCACGUUGGGAGCUGAGGAGCAGGGUGACAGGGAGGGGGCAGUGCUGCUGCUGCUGACAGAUCAGGAUGUGACAAAAUGCUGCCAGAUGCCUGAAACUUUCUAACUCCGCCCCCAACUCCCUGCAAUAACCAGCAGCACUUGGGCAUGUUGGGAUCUUUUGUUCUGCUCAGCAGAAGGAGAGGGGGGAGCAGGCACAUACUUUAUUGCUUUGACUGGUUUUAGCAUUAUAGAUAUUUAGACCCUAUAUCCCUUCUGCCUUGCGUUUAGUCACAAAAAUCAAAACCUUUUCAAAUUCAAUUCUUUGUACCCUUAAAGCAGUGCUAUUUGUCUGUGACUGUUAGAAUUGUAGCAAAGUAUCCCAUACACAUUUCAGCUUUUCUUUUGCAUCUGAUAUGUUAUUUUGCUAGUUCUGUUGCACAAGACCCAAGUUGGGGAACUUUGUACCUUAAAUAGGGGGAACUAUCCGGCUGUGGCGGCCUGGAAAGUCCCAUGGAUUCCGCGCUCGCACGUUGGAGGAUAAGCAUAUUUGCUGCCUGGCCAGCCUGUUGCAGUUUUUCCCUAUGACAACACGCUGACAUUUUGGCAGGCAGCCAGAGAAGCAGUGAAUUAAGAAUGCUGUCAGUUUUCCCUGUUUACAUUGCAAAUGUGCAAUCUACUUUUUUCACAUGCCAGGAUUACUUGAUUCAAAACAAACCGUUGCUCUGUAAUUCAGUAAUCUUGUUAUAGCUAAUUAGUUUGUAGCUCUUGUCAUUUUUUGUUGUAAAAAAAUAAAUCGCAGUGACCCCUUUGCAAAGAGUUAUGGUUACUCAGUAGUAAAAAUCCGGUGACCUUAAGGACUGUUGUGUUCAUACUGCAUCUGUGUAUCAGUGGUCUGAUGGGCAAUUCAAAUGCCCAAUUCCCAUGCCUUGUUAGUAGGGCCGACAUGGCGAGCUUGUCUGACUGUGCAGUCCCAGCACAGACCCCUGUGUAAUUUAUUCAAUCUGUGGAUGAUGUUAGGCCUCAUUUGUGCGUCUCUGCAUCUGUUACAUUCAUUGGAUCUGUCAGGUCAGAUCACACAGUUCUGCGAGAAGUGGAUCUAACUGUUACCUAUGGGAUAUGGAUGCAUCAGAAUCAGAUUCAGCUUUUCUCUGCACGUGCGCCUGAUUUCCAUGGAUCAUGGACUGUCGCACAACCAUGAGUCCAGCUGUUGAACAGAUACACAGUGCUACAACUACUUUUGGCGUCUAGUUUGUAUCAUGGCUACUAAGUUCAUAUAGACCCACCCAAUCUCUGUACGUGUAAAGGGGAAGGUUGGUAUUUGGCCAGUUGAAGUAAAGAGCUCAAUCUGACUUUGUCUGAUGAGGAUUAAGGAAAGUCACUAGUGUGUGUUUGCCCCCCAAUCCCAUGGCACUUUGUGCAUUCGAUGCAACAUCACAGGGAAGUUAUUGGUGGGUGCAACUGCUUCCCUCAUAAGUAAGACUGUCAGCUGAGGCUUGUUUCAGAGUGGCUAAUAAAACCAAUUGACUUAUUCUUUAAAAACUUACUUUUGAAAAAUAUGUUGGCAGUCAUUGUCUCAAUUGGAUCAUAACUAACUGUACCAUUACUCAGAUUUAUCCUUUAAGGCACCCACACAUGGUUUUUUCAUUGCCCAUCCUUACGUUUUAAUGACAUCUGUCAGUGUCACCUUUUUAACCUCACUGGCAGAAUUGGGUUAAUCCUUUGGGCAUACUAUUGGCCUAUAACAUAUUGUGGCGGAGACCUCUCUUGUUCCCUUAUGGUUUAGGGUCAGUGGAUUCAAAGCCAUAUGUCAAAAAUGACUAUCACCUUCUGGAAUAGUAUGCAGUAAAGGAGAUGCAAUUUUGUGGACAUCUCACCCGUAUUUCUGGUGUCACGAUUUUAAUAUAAAAACCGUUGCUCUGGGGCCAGGAUAAGACACAUGGGUAUCUGGCCAAAAGCUUCAUCUCCUGCAGAUCCUCUGACAUUGUAUACGGUCUGUGCAUUCAGCAGCCCACAUUCCAUGUGAACACAAUGAGGCAAAUUGUUCUGCAAGAUGACCCUAGAAAAUCUGCAGUAGUUUAACAGCUAAACAGGAAAGGAAAUUGCUUUGAAUGCAAUCAUAUGGCAGAGGAACAAAGCACCUUUUUUGGCAUUUUUACAAGCUGAAUGCAAAGUAAAUACCAUUUUCUAAGGAAAGCGGGCCUUUAUGUUAUUUGUUUUCACCAGUAUUGUAGAUAGAUGUGAAGAGUAGUAUAAACUUAAUAAAGCUGUAGCACUUAGCUAUGUGUGUAUAUUGUUUGGCCCAAUUUCACUGUCCACGACUAAUAUUCCUUUCUGUUUCUAAGGCCA
Molecule: long non-coding RNA, 3264 nt
Organism: Xenopus tropicalis (tropical clawed frog)
Lineage: Eukaryota; Metazoa; Chordata; Amphibia; Anura; Pipidae
Exons: 2
Source: RefSeq, a predicted model, not a curated record